Molecule: ribosomal RNA, 705 nt
Filed under: Bacillus cereus
Lineage: Bacteria; Bacillati; Bacillota; Bacilli; Caryophanales; Bacillaceae
Description: bacterial SSU rRNA
Rfam family: Bacterial small subunit ribosomal RNA
Source: RNAcentral
AGCUUGCUCUUAUGAAGUUAGCGGCGGACGGGUGAGUAACACGUGGGUAACCUGCCCAUAAGACUGGGAUAACUCCGGGAAACCGGGGCUAAUACCGGAUAACAUUUUGAACCGCAUGGUUCGAAAUUGAAAGGCGGCUUCGGCUGUCACUUAUGGAUGGACCCGCGUCGCAUUAGCUAGUUGGUGAGGUAACGGCUCACCAAGGCAACGAUGCGUAGCCGACCUGAGAGGGUGAUCGGCCACACUGGGACUGAGACACGGCCCAGACUCCUACGGGAGGCAGCAGUAGGGAAUCUUCCGCAAUGGACGAAAGUCUGACGGAGCAACGCCGCGUGAGUGAUGAAGGCUUUCGGGUCGUAAAACUCUGUUGUUAGGGAAGAACAAGUGCUAGUUGAAUAAGCUGGCACCUUGACGGUACCUAACCAGAAAGCCACGGCUAACUACGUGCCAGCAGCCGCGGUAAUACGUAGGUGGCAAGCGUUUAUCCGGAAUUAUUGGGCGUAAAGCGCGCGCAGGUGGUUUCUUAAGUCUGAUGUGAAAGCCCACGGCUCAACCGUGGGAGGGUCAUUUGGAAACUGGGAGACUUGAGUGCAGAAGAGGAAAGUGGGAAUUCCAUGUGUAGCGGGUGAAAAUGCGUAGAGAUAUGGGAGGAACACCAGUGGCGAAGGCGACUUUCUGGUCUGUAACUGACACUGAGGCGCGAAA